GUAGAGAUUUUGUUUUCGCAAUGCGCGCCAUUUCUGCAAAACAAUUUUUCGGUGAAUUCUUUAUGCAGUCGAGAGGACCCUUAAAUAUCUGGGAUGGUGCUCUUCCACGGUUCCGGCAAUUAUCCUGAGAUUACCCCCCGAUCGGCGGUAGCGGCAGUGGGAAACAAGCUGCCGUCGGAAAGGUGCUUCAAUAUUCGAGGAGGGCUGGACUGGAAGAUUUGUCCCAACUAGCGGUUGAUAUCGGGGACUCCGACAAGACCAGGAGCAUCUGCUGUCUGGCGGAUUUGGUAUAUGACGAGCGGUUUCCGAUCCACCGUGUCGUCAAUGAAUAUGGUCAUCACGCACCAAUGAGGUACACCACAUUGAUCACGCACCACUCGCAGCAGGUCGGUAGGAGCUGCUCUCGAGAAACCAUCAGCUUCAUCGAGGGCGCCGUCAUGAGCGAGCUUAAGCCUCGGGAAUUGGCAAAUCUGAAAAUCCGGGCUACAGCAGGUAGCCCGGAUUCCAAUAGUGGUUUUCUAAAAUUGUGAAAAACAGUGUAAAAGUGAAAAUUUGUGGAAAGAAAAACUUAUGUGACAAUAAUAGUGUUUUAAAACAUUAAUAAAAUGUGUUCUUUUGAAUAGUUUUCUUCCUUUUUUGUUCAAGUGACUCGCAAUAAAAAUUAAUCAGUUUGUUAAAGUUGUUCCUUGUUUUAGGGAAUAUUA
Molecule: long non-coding RNA, 704 nt
Organism: Uranotaenia lowii
Lineage: Eukaryota; Metazoa; Arthropoda; Insecta; Diptera; Culicidae
Exons: 3
Source: RefSeq, a predicted model, not a curated record